Molecule: ribosomal RNA, 401 nt
Filed under: uncultured bacterium
Lineage: Bacteria
Description: bacterial SSU rRNA
Rfam family: Bacterial small subunit ribosomal RNA
Source: RNAcentral
AGCGAACGCUGGCGGCGUGCCUAACACAUGCAAGUCGAGCGGGAAAGUUCCCUUCGGGGAGCGAGUACAGCGGCGCACGGGUGAGUAACACGUAGGUAACCUACCCUGGAGUCUGGGAUAACCUGCCGAAAGGCGGGCUAAUACCAGAUAAGACCACGAGGGCUGCGGCCCUUGGGGAAAAAGAUGGCCUCUGCUUGCAAGCUAUCACUCUGGGAUGGGCCUGCGCGCCAUAGCUAGUUGGUGAGGUAACGGCUCACCAAGGCAGAGAUGGCUAGCUGGUCUGAGAGGAUGGCCAGCCACACUGGGACUGAGACACGGCCCAGACUCCUACGGGAGGCAGCAGUGGGGAAUAUUGCGCAAUGGGCGAAAGCCUGACGCAGCGACGCCGCGUGGGUGAUGAA